RNAcentral lists this ribosomal RNA (472 nucleotides) under uncultured bacterium. RNAcentral describes it as "bacterial SSU rRNA". It matches the Rfam family "Bacterial small subunit ribosomal RNA", at positions 328 to 793 of the family's 1533-position model. The record is from RNAcentral.
CGCUAUCACUCCUACGGGAGGCAGCAGUGGGGAAUAUUGCACAAUGGGGGAAACCCUGAUGCAGCCAUGCCGCGUGUGUGAAGAAGGCCUUCGGGUUGUAAAGCACUUUCAGUAGGGAGGAAGAUAGUGUAGUUAACACCUGCAUUAUUUGACGUUACCUACAGAAGAAGCACCGGCUAACUCCGUGCCAGCAGCCGCGGUAAUACGGAGGGUGCGAGCGUUAAUCGGAAUUACUGGGCGUAAAGCGCAUGCAGGCGGCCUGUUAAGUCAGAUGUGAAAGCCCGGGGCUUAACCUCGGAAUUGCAUUUGAAACUGGCAGGCUAGAGUCUUGUAGAGGGGGUAGAAUUUCAGGUGUAGCGGUGAAAUGCGUAGAGAUCUGAAGGAAUACCAGUGGCGAAGGCGGCCCCCUGGACAAAGACUGACGCUCAGAUGCGAAAGCGUGGGGAGCAAACAGGAUUAGAUACCCUGGUAG